UAAAAAACCACCAUAAUAAGAAUGUUGUUAUGCUGUGCUUAUAUAAUCAUUUCUUUUUCAUCCCUAAUAGCUGGUACAAAUUGAUGAAGUGUUACAUAAUUAACUGAUCUUAACAUCACUGAAAUAUGGGGUUACCUAUCUCAAAAGCUAUUGAGAGAGUAAUAUAUCAUGAAGACAAAGCCAAUGGAAACACCCAUUGAGUAUUAGCUAGAUGUGAGCUAGCACAUGGGAAAAUGGGAAUUGUCUUUUCUGUCUGAUAACAUGGAGGCUAAUCAUAAAAACAGGCCUACGGGGAAGGCCAUUUUUCUUAACCUACCUGACAUUUGUGUGCAUCUGAUAUUUAGAGGGCACUAUGUCUAUAACUGAAACAGUCAUGGGAAGAAGGUGCAAGUGAAGCAGAGCACAGCUCCAACAACCAACAAAUCCAGUCCCCCUGAGAUUUUUCAGGUGUGGAUGCCCCUACAGAAUUACUCCCAAUUGAAGCCAAUGGGCCAGGCCUUUGUACUCCUACAUCAAACAGCUACUGGAGGUGUGAUUCCCUGGUGACAAGGGCAAGGCCGUUUUCUGCAGCUGAAAGCAAUUCUCAGGCAGGGACACAGUUGCAAGUUGCCAACAAUAAACAUUCCCAAAGCUGGGAGAAUGAAUAUCUUGGCCUUGAAAUGUGUCAGCAACAUAACACACCAAAGCAUCUCCUGUGCACAUAGCAGAGAGGAAUAUAAUGAGAUGCAACGUGCUUCAUAUUGGUGCGUUUUCAUGUGCUGUUGCAGCUAACGGAGGAACUGGCUCUGCAAGUGGGGUUGCCUCCACCAUUUCAGACCCAUGUGUUUUUUUUCCAAAUGUCCUCAAAACUCCCUGUCUUGAGGCAGGCUUCCCUCGUAAAUCUGUAGUAAGAAAAAGGAAAGCAGCAAGCAGCUAAGAGUUUAAAACAUUGUGUCUACGAGAACAGCUAGAAGGUAAAUCAUUUCUAAGAGGAUGUGCUAUUAGUUUAUCCCAUGCUUUAAAAAAUGCCUUUGGUGGGAGAGAAGCCAGAAGCUCAUGCGUGGAGAGUGCUCUGUUUGCCUCUUCCCAGUCAUCUCAGGGAUGAACGCAAUACCCACACCUGAUGCUGUUAUCUAUCUUCUGCUGCUACCUGUUCUUUUCCUUGGGAGCCUCAUUGAAGGCAACACUCUGCCCCAUCCGGGACUCUACAUAAGGGGCUCUUGCUGGCUUCUUCAAUUGGCUAUUUCUGUUGGCUGCUGUGAAUUCUCACUUUGAUGAUAUUUUGUUGUUUAUUUGAACAUUUUCUCUAUUUGGUACUCACCAUUUGUGUUUUCAAUUUUGCUUGCUAUGCACUUAAUGAACUCAUUCAAAACCAAAAGGACAGCUAUUAGAUCAUUCUCCGUAUCAUACAGGAACAUAAACUACUAACUGAGGUGUGAGCAAAGCAUAUAAAGUACAAAACCCAAAGAAAGAUAUGUUAGACUACAAAACAUAAAUUUUACAGAUGAAUAAAUCAUAAGAAACACAUCAAAUUUUCUAUAGUUAAUAGCAACACACAAAAAAACAACAUAAAAAUUUGCUAAGGGUACAGAGGAUAUCUUGGUUUCAUUUGCUACUAACACUUCACUAGAUGUUAUCUGGACUGAGGCUGGGUGUGGGGGUCUAUGGUAGAUUACUUACCCAGCAUGCACACAGUCUUGGUUCACCCAUAGAACUGCAAAAAGGAAAGGGGAAAGAAUAAAGAAAAUGGGAAGGAAGGAAGGAAGGAAGGAAGGAAGGAAGGAAGGAAGGAAGGAAGGAAGGAAGGAAGGAAGGAGGGAAGGAAGGAAGGAAAGAAAGAAGGAAAGAAGGAAGGAAGGAAAAGAGAGAGAGGGAGGAAAAAGAGGGAUUGAUUCUAUCAAUGAUGUCAUUCUUAUUUUUCUGCUCAGUGAUGCUUAGUUAAUUAGGCUUCUCUGCUCCCAACUAGAGUGAGUGCCAGUGUGCAGGUCAGAGUUGGUGAAAGAGCAAAGCAUGUGUGUGUGCAAGGGAGCAUAGCAGGAGCCCAUGAAGUAACCACCCUCAGAGGAUUUCAGUGGUCACAGACAAGUGGGAAGGCGGGGCUUAUCCAGCAGCUCCCAGUUUCUAGCAGUUUCCAGUCUCUGCCUACUGCUCUAUUUCUCAUCUGCCUUCUUUCUCUUCCCUGUUGGAAGCCUGGCCUGGCCACAGCAGCCUGAUGCCCUUCCUGCAUGCUUGGUUCUGUGCCAUAGAGGCAGAAGGUUGCUCAUAGGCAACACUUUCUACCAACCCUCCAGAAGUUGAUGGAGGAGGCCCCACCCUCUUCCAGAUACACUACAUGAGUGAGCUUCUCCAAGAUCUUCCCCACCUGCCCUCCCAUCUGGAUCGACACCCUUUCUGUCUCCAUUAGAAAACACAUAGGCAGCAGGUGAUGAUGGCGCACACCUUUAAUCCCAGCACUCAGGAGGCAGAGCCAGGCGGAUCUCUGUGAGUAGUAGCCCAGCCUGGUCUACUGAGCAAGUUCCAGAAAAGGUUCCAAAGCAUCACAGAGAAACCCUGUCUUGAAAACCAACCAACCAAACAACAACACAAAAGGAAAGAAAAGAAAAAAGAAAACAAAUAGCCACCGAAAGAACAACAAUAAAAUAUAAAAUAAGAAAAGAGUUAUAAUUUCAGAUAGUUAUUUUGAGGGAAAAUAUUUGCUGUGGAGUGUGAAAUUUUAAAAAUAAAAUUACAUACGAUCUGUUAAUCAAUUUAAAUGCAUUCCCUGUGAACUUUGUCUUUCAC
RNAcentral lists this long non-coding RNA (2760 nucleotides) under Cricetulus griseus (Chinese hamster). Its description in RNAcentral is "lncRNA (ENSCGRG00015035416.1)". The record is from RNAcentral. Lineage: Eukaryota; Metazoa; Chordata; Mammalia; Rodentia; Cricetidae.